RNAcentral lists this ribosomal RNA (119 nucleotides) under Gossypium arboreum. Lineage: Eukaryota; Viridiplantae; Streptophyta; Magnoliopsida; Malvales; Malvaceae. The record is from RNAcentral.
GGGUGCGAUAAUAGCGGCACUAAUGCACCGGAUCCCAUCAAAACUCCGCAGUUAAGCGUGUUUGGGCGAGAGUACUACUAGGAUGGGUGACUUCCUGGGAAAUCCUCGUGUUGCACCCC